This 1232-nucleotide ribosomal RNA is filed under the name Staphylococcus sp. RNAcentral describes it as "bacterial SSU rRNA". It matches the Rfam family "Bacterial small subunit ribosomal RNA", at positions 39 to 1289 of the family's 1533-position model. Lineage: Bacteria; Bacillati; Bacillota; Bacilli; Caryophanales; Staphylococcaceae. The record is from RNAcentral.
GGGGGGUGCUAUAAUGCAAGUCGAGCGAACAGACGAGGAGCUUGCUCCUCUGACGUUAGCGGCGGACGGGUGAGUAACACGUGGAUAACCUACCUAUAAGACUGGGAUAACUUCGGGAAACCGGAGCUAAUACCGGAUAAUAUAUUGAACCGCAUGGUUCAAUAGUGAAAGACGGUUUUGCUGUCACUUAUAGAUGGAUCCGCGCCGCAUUAGCUAGUUGGUAAGGUAACGGCUUACCAAGGCAACGAUGCGUAGCCGACCUGAGAGGGUGAUCGGCCACACUGGAACUGAGACACGGUCCAGACUCCUACGGGAGGCAGCAGUAGGGAAUCUUCCGCAAUGGGCGAAAGCCUGACGGAGCAACGCCGCGUGAGUGAUGAAGGUCUUCGGAUCGUAAAACUCUGUUAUUAGGGAAGAACAAAUGUGUAAGUAACUAUGCACGUCUUGACGGUACCUAAUCAGAAAGCCACGGCUAACUACGUGCCAGCAGCCGCGGUAAUACGUAGGUGGCAAGCGUUAUCCGGAAUUAUUGGGCGUAAAGCGCGCGUAGGCGGUUUUUUAAGUCUGAUGUGAAAGCCCACGGCUCAACCGUGGAGGGUCAUUGGAAACUGGAAAACUUGAGUGCAGAAGAGGAAAGUGGAAUUCCAUGUGUAGCGGUGAAAUGCGCAGAGAUAUGGAGGAACACCAGUGGCGAAGGCGACUUUCUGGUCUGUAACUGACGCUGAUGUGCGAAAGCGUGGGGAUCAAACAGGAUUAGAUACCCUGGUAGUCCACGCCGUAAACGAUGAGUGCUAAGUGUUAGGGGGUUUCCGCCCCUUAGUGCUGCAGCUAACGCAUUAAGCACUCCGCCUGGGGAGUACGACCGCAAGGUUGAAACUCAAAGGAAUUGACGGGGACCCGCACAAGCGGUGGAGCAUGUGGUUUAAUUCGAAGCAACGCGAAGAACCUUACCAAAUCUUGACAUCCUCUGACCCCUCUAAAGAUAAAGUUUUCCCCUUCGGGGGACAAAAUGACAGGUGGUGCAUGGUUGCCCCCACUCGUGCCCGGAAAGUUGGGUUAAUUCCCCAACGAGCGCACCCUUAACUUAAUUGCCACCUUAAGUGGGCCUCCAAUUGACGCCCGGAAACCCCGAAGAGGGGGGGAAGACCCAACCUCUCGCCCCUAAAUUUGGGCCACCCGUUCAAGGGAUAUAAAGGGGGAAACCCGGGGGGAAACCCCCCAAAGGGGUCCCU